GGGACAGCAGAGCGCGUGCGCGGCGCGGGGCCGCCUCAGGUGUGCGGGGCGGGGCCGGCACAGGUGCGAGGGGGGGGGACCGAGGCCACUUAAACACCGGAAGGGCGGCGGCCGCCAUUUUCUCCGGGAGGAGCCGGCUGCGGCCGCUCCGGUGAGGCGCUUCUCUCUUUUCUGCUUUUAUCUCUCCUUUCUGCUUUUAUCUCUCCAUUCUGCUUUUAUAUCUCCUUUCUGCUUUUAUCUCUCCUUUCUCAGCUUCUCUCCCCUCUCUCCUUCUCUGUUUUUCUCUCUCCUCUCUGCUUUUAUCUCUCCUUUCUGUUUUUCUCUCCUCUCCUUCUCUCUCCCGUCUCCUUCUCUCCCCUCUCUGCUGUUCUCCCCCGUCUCCCCUCGCACCGCCCGCCCCCCCCUGCCCCCGCCUCUGUUCCUGCUCUGUUCCCUCGCACCGCCCGCCCCCCCCUGCCCCCGCCUCUGUUCCUGCUCUGUUCCCUUACAAACCCUGACUCCUGUCUCUGUUCUUCCUUCUCCUUCUCCCUCCAUCCUCCCGCCCGUCCCGACCCUGCAGCCUCCCGUUAUCCUCGCCUGUGCCCGCUCUUAC
RNAcentral lists this long non-coding RNA (592 nucleotides) under Cyanistes caeruleus (blue tit). Its description in RNAcentral is "lncRNA (ENSCCEG00000001776.1)". The record is from RNAcentral. Lineage: Eukaryota; Metazoa; Chordata; Aves; Passeriformes; Paridae.